AUGCAAGUCGAACGAACCUUCGGGUUAGUGGCGGACGGGUGAGUAACGCGUGGGAAUCUGCCCUCAGGAGGGGGAUAACGGUUGGAAACGACCGCUAAUACCCCAUAUGCCGAGAGGUGAAAUGAAUUUCGCCUGAGGAUGAGCCCGCGUCUGAUUAGCUUGUUGGUGAGGUAAUGGCUCACCAAGGCUUCGAUCAGUAGCUGGUCUGAGAGGAUGAUCAGCCACACUGGGACUGAGACACGGCCCAGACUCCUACGGGAGGCAGCAGUGGGGAAUUUUCCGCAAUGGACGAAAGUCUGACGGAGCAACGCCGCGUGAGGGAUGAAGGCCUCUGGGCUGUAAACCUCUUUUCUCAAGGAAGAAGAUAUGACGGUACUUGAGGAAUAAGCCACGGCUAAUUCCGUGCCAGCAGCCGCGGUAAUACGGGAGUGGCAAGCGUUAUCCGGAAUUAUUGGGCGUAAAGCGUCCGCAGGCGGCUUUACAAGUCUGCUGUAAAAACGUGGAGCUUAACUCCAUCAUCGCAGUGGAAACUGUAGGGCUUGAGUAUGGUAGGGGCAGAGGGAAUUCCCGGUGUAGCGGUGAAAUGCGUAGAUAUCGGGAAGAACACCAGUGGCGAAGGCGCUCUGCUGGGCCAUAACUGACGCUCAUGGACGAAAGCCAGGGGAGCGAAAGGGAUUAGAUACCCCUGUAGUCCUGGCCGUAAACGAUGAACACUAGGUGUCGGAGGAAUCGACCCCCUCGGUGUCGUAGCUAACGCGUUAAGUGUUCCGCCUGGGGAGUACGCACGCAAGUGUGAAACUCAAAGGAAUUGACGGGGGCCCGCACAAGCGGUGGAGUAUGUGUUUAAUUCGAUGCAACGCGAAGAACCUUACCAGGAUUUGGACAUCCUGCGAACCUCUUAGAAUUUGAUGGUGCCUUCGGGACGCAGUGACAGGUGCUGCAUGGCUGUCGUCAGCUCGUGUCGUGAAUGUGGGUAGUCCCGCACGAGCGCAUCACGUUCUUAGUGCAGCAUUACGUGGCCUCUAGAAGACCGUCGUGAAACCGGAGGAAGGGUGAUGACGUCAGGCUCAUUGCCCUUAAUCUGGGCUACACGUAGUCAAUGCUACGACAGGCGACAAAAUGUGGAGCAGCAAUCCAUUACGGGGCUCAGUUCGACGUAGAGC
This 1163-nucleotide ribosomal RNA is filed under the name uncultured Prochlorococcus sp. RNAcentral's name for it is "bacterial SSU rRNA". It matches the Rfam family "Bacterial small subunit ribosomal RNA", at positions 55 to 1304 of the family's 1533-position model. Lineage: Bacteria; Bacillati; Cyanobacteriota; Cyanophyceae; Synechococcales; Prochlorococcaceae. The record is from RNAcentral.